GGGAUACUAGGUCAAAAAGUGAAACUUCUAAUUUUGCUUUAAGCGGUUUAACUCCGUUUGUACCCCU
This 67-nucleotide transfer RNA is filed under the name Etisus anaglyptus. Its description in RNAcentral is "tRNA-Ser". The record is from RNAcentral. Lineage: Eukaryota; Metazoa; Arthropoda; Malacostraca; Decapoda; Xanthidae.